AUUGCCCUAGUAACGGCGAGUGAAGCGGCAACAGCUCAAAUUUGAAAUCUGGCCUCGGCCCGAGUUGUAAUUUGCAGAGGAAGCUUUAGGCGCGGCACCUUCUGAGUCCCCUGGAACGGGGCGCCAUAGAGGGUGAGAGCCCCGUAUAGUUGGAUGCCUAGCCUGUGUAAAGCUCCUUCGACGAGUCGAGUAGUUUGGGAAUGCUGCUCAAAAUGGGAGGUAAAUUUCUUCUAAAGCUAAAUACCGGCCAGAGACCGAUAGCGCACAAGUAGAGUGAUCGAAAGAUGAAAAGCACUUUGAAAAGAGGGUUAAAUAGCACGUGAAAUUGUUGAAAGGGAAGCGCUUGUGACCAGACUUGCGCUGGGCUGAUCAUCCGGUGUUCUCACCGGUGCACUCUGCCCGGCGCAGGCCAGCAUCGGUUCUCGCGGGGGGAUAAAGGCACCGGGAACGUGGCUCCUCCGGGAGUGUUAUAGCCCGGGGCGUAAUGCCCUCGCGGGGACCGAGGUUCGCGCAUCUGCAAGGAUGCUGGCGUAAUGGUCAUCAGCGACCCGUCUUGAAACACGGACCAAGGAGUCAAGGUUUUGCGCGAGUGUUUGGGUGUCAAACCCGCACGCGUAAUGAAAGUGAACGUAGGUGAGAGCUUCGGCGCAUCAUCGACCGAUCCUGAUGUUUUCGGAUGGAUUUGAGUAGGAGCGUUAAGCCUUGGACCCGAAAGAUGGUGAACUAUGCUUGGAUAGGGUGAAGCCAGAGGAAACUCUGGUGGAGGCUCGCAGCGGUUCUGACGUGCAAAUCGAUCGUCAAAUCUGAGCAUGGGGGCGAAAGACUAAUCGACCAUCUAGUAGCUGGUUACCGCC
RNAcentral lists this ribosomal RNA (854 nucleotides) under Dichotomopilus fusus. RNAcentral describes it as "LSU rRNA". It matches the Rfam family "Eukaryotic large subunit ribosomal RNA", at positions 74 to 962 of the family's 3401-position model. Lineage: Eukaryota; Fungi; Ascomycota; Sordariomycetes; Sordariales; Chaetomiaceae. The record is from RNAcentral.